UGGCUCAGUUGGUAGAGCAUGUGACUCUUGGUCUCAGAGUCGUGGGUUCGAGCCCCAC
RNAcentral lists this transfer RNA (58 nucleotides) under Ailuropoda melanoleuca (giant panda). It matches the Rfam family "tRNA", at positions 8 to 63 of the family's 71-position model. From Rfam's summary of the family: Transfer RNA (tRNA) molecules are approximately 80 nucleotides in length. Their secondary structure includes four short double-helical elements and three loops (D, anti-codon, and T loops). Lineage: Eukaryota; Metazoa; Chordata; Mammalia; Carnivora; Ursidae. The record is from Rfam by way of RNAcentral.